GCUUGAGUGGCUCAGUCAGUAGAGCAUGUGACUCUUGACCUCAGGGUUGUGAGUUCGAGCCCCAUGUUGAGUG
This 73-nucleotide transfer RNA is filed under the name Canis lupus familiaris (dog). It matches the Rfam family "tRNA". Rfam says of the family: Transfer RNA (tRNA) molecules are approximately 80 nucleotides in length. Their secondary structure includes four short double-helical elements and three loops (D, anti-codon, and T loops). Lineage: Eukaryota; Metazoa; Chordata; Mammalia; Carnivora; Canidae. The record is from Rfam by way of RNAcentral. RNAcentral also lists the same sequence under 1 other name.